CAGGGUGCCGGGAUAGCCCUGCUGCCCUGCCAAUUUGCCCACAGAGGCUGGCAAAUCGGAAUAUGGGCCUCAUUCAUGUGAUGAGGUCCAUAGUGUCUAAGCAACCAAUUUUUAGGAAAUGACAUGUAUGAUUAUGUGUGGUAUAGAAAUAGCCUCUUAUACCUGCUUGAUGUUUACUCUUUUUAAUAAAUUUUUAUUUUUUUAAAACACACAAAAAAAAUACAUACCGUAGACAUACAAAACAUUUACAAUUCCCACCACCAACACGAGGAUUGUUUUCUUUUUACAUAUUCGUUUCUUUAUGAGACAAUUUUUAUAUCUUUAUCUUAAUCCAUUUCCAACCUAUAUACUAUAUAACAUUUGUAUCUUAUUUCUUAUGGCUUGAUCUCCAGAAUGAUUCAUGAUAUAGUUCUUUACCAUUGUCCAUCUUUCUUCCAUUUCUCUUGUUCUAUUUUCAUUAGUUUUUACAACAUUUAGUUUCACAUUCAUAAUUUCAAAUUCUAUUUGCUCCACCAUAUAUUGGUACCAUUUAUUUACUGUCCAUUUUGAUUUAUCUUUCCACCCUAAUACUAUUACUGCUUGUGCACAUUCAAUUAUUGCUUCUUUUAUUUCCCUUUUAUUUCCCAUUUCCUCUCUUUUCCCUAAUACCGCUAUUUCCUUUGUUAUGACCCACUCAUUUCCUAGUAUUUGAUUUGACUCGUUUUGUAUAGUCUGCCAAAAAUAUUGUACAUGUUCACAUUCCCACAUCAUGUGCAUAAACCGCCCUUUCUGAUGACAUCCAUGCCAGCACUGACUACUCCCCUUUUUAUAGUAGUAUGCUAAUUGGCAGGGUGUACGAUACCAUUUGUGCAAUAUUUUCCUCCUCAUUUCUCGUACUCUGGUAUUCCUUUUCAUCCCUAUUGUCUCUACCACAUUUCUCAUCUCUUGUUCUGUGAUUUGCAGCUCCGUUUCCCACAUACUUUUCAGAUCCCGUAUUAUACAUCCAUCAGCCUCUAUGAGCAUUGUAUAUAUUUUGCUGGCCUGUGCCUUCUUUCCUUCCCCCUUUUCUCUUAACCAUAUUAAUAUUUUCUUUUAUUUUGCAAUAUGCACAGAUUGCUCUUAUCUGUAACCAAUUUUCUUCUCCAAGCCAUUGUUUAAUUUUAUUUUCUCUUACCGUUCCCUCUCUGUCAUAUAGUUGUUCUAGUCUCUCUAUUCCUUUUUCCUUCAAUGUUUGAAUAUUUCUAUUCAUAUUUGAUUCCUUAUCCUUAUUGAUUAUCCAUACUGUUGACAUUUUAGAUUUUAAGCUACUUAUUCUCCCUUGCCAUUUCUUCCACACUUGCAUUGUUCCUUUCAUUGGUCCUAUUAAUUUAUCUAUAUUUCUCUUAUCCCAUUUUCUAAAGAUUAUUUCUUCACAAUUAACUCCAUUCAUUUCCUUUUCAAAUCUCACCCAUUUUUUAUUUGUCACUUGUAAUUCUAUUGCUCUUUCAAUUUGGAAGGC
RNAcentral lists this long non-coding RNA (1477 nucleotides) under Anolis carolinensis (green anole). Its description in RNAcentral is "lncRNA (ENSACAG00000036144.1)". Lineage: Eukaryota; Metazoa; Chordata; Lepidosauria; Squamata; Anolidae. The record is from RNAcentral.